Molecule: long non-coding RNA, 2494 nt
Filed under: Carica papaya (papaya)
Lineage: Eukaryota; Viridiplantae; Streptophyta; Magnoliopsida; Brassicales; Caricaceae
Description: long non-coding RNA (CPAP_LNC002867)
Source: RNAcentral
CCUAGGAAGCAUAGGCAAAAGAGUUCAUGAUUGCCUAGGACAACAAAAACAGCAAUAUAAGACAAAAGGAGCACAAACGACCAAUCCAUUCCGCAAUAAACACAAAAUAUGCAGAUAAAUAAUGCUGUUUGGACCAUUAGUGAACCUUCUUCUUUGGUGCCUUGAAAUAGACAGUGACAUUUUUUUCUCAAGUUAAUGAACCUCAGUUGGGUGGUACAUUGACUGGUUAAGGGUGACUUAUGGGCUGGUAGGGGUCAGCUGGCUGCCAAAUUGAAGGGAAAGUUUUUUGCUCUCAUUCCCAGUGCUACCUUUUGAGUCACCUAUAUAGAGAGAAACAGAAAAGCCUUUGAUGACUCCACCUCCUUUCUGAGUGUAUUUUAGAUCACUUGGUUUCGAGCUAGUAUUUUAUACAAGGACUUCCGUACUCAAGAUGAUGCUAAUUUGUUGAUCACAUUGACCUUUUGUCUUUUGAUUCUACAUUGUAAGAUGUACACAGGUUGCACCUCCAUGGUGCCCUAUUUAUGCGAGCUUCUUUUCUCUUCUCAAAAAGAAACUGCUGCUCAGGAUAUAGAUCCAUUAAUUCAUAGGACCUACGAGUCAAAACUUUUCUCUUUAACACUUUUUCUACAACCAACUGAGAAAAAGUCAAUUUCCUCAAGACAUCAUCAAUCGAAGUCAUUCUUCGAUUAUCGUGGCACAACUGGAGAGCUAGGGCACCUUUCACUUUUUUUUUCCUUAAUUAAAAUAUUUUUAGACAGGUGAAGAAAAUGGCAUAUGUUGCCAUUUGAAUUAAGUACCAGCAUUAAUCAUCCAUAAACUGUAAAGUGAAUUGUCGCCCAGUAGCAGACUAGCAGCNNNNNNNNNNNNNNNNNNNNNNNNNNNNNNNNNNNNNNNNNNNNNNNNNNNNNNNNNNNNNNNNNNNNNNNNNNNNNNNNNNNNNNNNNNNNNNNNNNNNNNNNNNNNGAGAUGAUUCUGUAUUAGCAGUCAUUCUGUGUCACAUUAUGAUAGCAAAUUUUUUUAAUGGUCAUUAAGUAGCAAAUAUAAGUGCUAAAAGAUGCAUUUAAGAGCUAAAUAAUGCUUGCAUAAUAAAGAUGACUAUGACUAAAUCAAUCACAUCAAACUAACCCAAGAAGAAAGAUCCAGGUGUGAUAAUGCUUUUUUACAAAAAGAAAAUAAUAAUGCAUAUCAAUUAUGUAGUUUUUCAAUAUAUGUCCAACAGUCCAAGGUCCAGCUAACUCAAUCAUAACAUAAGUAGAUUCACUAAUCAAAUAAAAUUAAAAUUUUGAGUAUUACAUCCCACAAUCAAUUGUUUGCCAAGAUUAAAAAUGUAAGCAAUUACAUGUUUCUGCAUCAUAAACUUUUGUUGAUGAAAAUCACUAUUGAGCAGUUAAAACAUUUUACCUUAUUCUUUUAGUAUAUAUAUAUUUUAAUUUGAUUCAUAAAAGGCCAACAACAGCUGAUAGACCAAAGAACGGGAAGACAAUGAUCUUGUUUCUCUUGAACCCUGAUUACUAGUGUGAAGAAAAUUCAAUCCUAGGCACUUCUAUACCAAAAGCGAGCACCGAACCAACCAGCCACCCAUUUCAUACCUUCCUCUGUUUAUAGUUAUCCUAAAUUUUUUUCUGAAAGACCAUGUGCACAGUGAGAUUAUACAUUAUGUCCCAAAACAUGCUUCCUCAAAGACCCUGAUUAUUAUGUGCGUAAGAGACACAUCCUAGAACUCAAAGGCGCUCAAAUUUGCUAUUAACAAAUUCUUUCCAAUUAUUCCACCAUAGCAAUGCUCAUGUAGAAUUAGCCAAAGGAAAGCAUUAAAGAAAACAGUAAGUCAGCUUCACUUAUAGCCUUCCUGUGCUAAAAAAAUGUGAAAUUGUAACUAAGGAAAAUGACUUACGCUUUGUAGACGUCGCCAAAUGAUCCUCUACCAAUCAACUCCAACUGGCUAAAUCUUGACCCUGCUGCUUCAGCUAAACCCGCAAUAUCAUCCAUGUCUUAAUACAAGAGGAUCUUCCUCUCUCUCUCUAGACACGCUUGACAGAAAUCAAAAUGCAAGAAAUAUGAAGAAAGCCAUGCGCAAAUUCAAGCCAAAUAUCAACAAAUUUCCCUCAUUCUUCGACACCCAAAACCAAUUUCACUAGAAUGGGUAUCUAUACACUCCAAAAUUGGCCUCAAUAACAAUCCUGAAACACCAUUGUCAACACAUUACAUUACACAACAUAUAAAUACACCUAUACGACAACCAUAAACCAAGCAAUCAACACCAACCCAAAAAGCCAACGACAAUUCAAGAUCUGAAAAUCAAAAUGAAGGACAUAUAAAUCACAAUGCUCAUAGUUACACUCGAAGCAAAGCAACCGCAAUGUUAAAAAUAAAUUCCGAAAAUUAAAAAGAAAAAAAAAACAGAAUUCCUGUUAGGUGAAGGAGUGAGAUUUGCUGAAGUGACAGCGCAGCAGAAUUUAUUCUUAGGACUCCCCCCACCCCCGAUAUCGCCUAUUAA